UUAAGCGACUAAGCGUACACGGUGGAUGCCCUGGCAGUCAGAGGCGAUGAAGGACGUGCUAAUCUGCGAAAAGCGUCGGUAAGGUGAUAUGAACCGUUAUAGCCGGCGAUGUCCGAAUGGGGAAACCCAGUGCAAUUCGUUGCACUAUCGUUAACUGAAUACAUAGGUUAACGAGGCGAACCGGGGGAACUGAAACAUCUAAGUACCCCGAGGAAAAGAAAUCAACCGAGAUUCCCCCAGUAGCGGCGAGCGAACGGGGAGCAGCCCAGAGUCUGAAUCAGCUUGUGUGUUAGUGGAACGGUCUGGAAAGUCCGACGGUACAGGGUGAUAGUCCCGUACACCAAAAUGCACAGGUUGUGAACUCGAAGAGUAGGGCGGGACACGUGGUAUCCUGUCUGAAUAUGGGGGGACCAUCCUCCAAGGCUAAAUACUCCUGACUGACCGAUAGUGAACCAGUACCGUGAGGGAAAGGCGAAAAGAACCCCGGCGAGGGGAGUGAAAAAGAACCUGAAACCGUGUACGUACAAGCAGUGGGAGCACCUUCGGGUGUGACUGCGUACCUUUUGUAUAAUGGGUCAGCGACUUAUAUUCUGUAGCAAGGUUAACCGUAUAGGGGAGCCGCAGGGAAACCGAGUCUUAACUGGGCGUUAAGUUGCAGGGUAUAGACCCGAAACCCGGUGAUCUAGCCAUGGGCAGGUUGAAGGUUGGGUAACACUAACUGGAGGACCGAACCGACUAAUGUUGAAAAAUUAGCGGAUGACUUGUGGCUGGGGGUGAAAGGCCAAUCAAACCGGGAGAUAGCUGGUUCUCCCCGAAAGCUAUUUAGGUAGCGCCUCGUGAAUUCAUCUUCGGGGGUAGAGCACUGUUUCGGCUAGGGGGUCAUCCCGACUUACCAACCCGAUGCAAACUACGAAUACCGAAGAAUGUUAUCACGGGAGACACACGGCGGGUGCUAACGUCCGUCGUGAAGAGGGAAACAACCCAGACCGCCAGCUAAGGUCCCAAAGUCAUGGUUAAGUGGGAAACGAUGUGGGAAGGCACAGACAGCCAGGAUGUUGGCUUAGAAGCAGCCAUCAUUUAAAGAAAGCGUAAUAGCUCACUGGUCGAGUCGGCCUGCGCGGAAGAUGUAACGGGGCUAAACCAUGCACCGAAGCUGCGGCAGCGACACUAUGUGUUGUUGGGUAGGGGAGCGUUCUGUAAGCCUGCGAAGGUGUGCUGUGAGGCAUGCUGGAGGUAUCAGAAGUGCGAAUGCUGACAUAAGUAACGAUAAAGCGGGUGAAAAGCCCGCUCGCCGGAAGACCAAGGGUUCCUGUCCAACGUUAAUCGGGGCAGGGUGAGUCGACCCCUAAGGCGAGGCCGAAAGGCGUAGUCGAUGGGAAACAGGUUAAUAUUCCUGUACUUGGUGUUACUGCGAAGGGGGGACGGAGAAGGCUAUGUUAGCCGGGCGACGGUUGUCCCGGUUUAAGCAUGUAGGCUGAUUGUCCAGGCAAAUCCGGAUAAUCAAGGCUGAGGUGUGAUGACGAGGCACUACGGUGCUGAAGUAACAAAUGCCCUGCUUCCAGGAAAAGCCUCUAAGCAUCAGGUAACAUCAAAUCGUACCCCAAACCGACACAGGUGGUCAGGUAGAGAAUACCAAGGCGCUUGAGAGAACUCGGGUGAAGGAACUAGGCAAAAUGGUGCCGUAACUUCGGGAGAAGGCACGCUGGUGUGUAGGUGAAGUCCCUGCGGAUGGAGCUGAGACCAGUCGAAGAUACCAGCUGGCUGCAACUGUUUAUUAAAAACACAGCACUGUGCAAACACGAAAGUGGACGUAUACGGUGUGACGCCUGCCCGGUGCCGGAAGGUUAAUUGAUGGGGUUAUCCGUAAGGAGAAGCUCUUGAUCGAAGCCCCGGUAAACGGCGGCCGUAACUAUAACGGUCCUAAGGUAGCGAAAUUCCUUGUCGGGUAAGUUCCGACCUGCACGAAUGGCGUAAUGAUGGCCAGGCUGUCUCCACCCGAGACUCAGUGAAAUUGAACUCGCUGUGAAGAUGCAGUGUACCCGCGGCAAGACGGAAAGACCCCGUGAACCUUUACUAUAGCUUGACACUGAACAUUGAGCCUUGAUGUGUAGGAUAGGUGGGAGGCUUUGAAGCGUGGACGCCAGUCUGCGUGGAGCCAACCUUGAAAUACCACCCUUUAAUGUUUGAUGUUCUAACGUUGGCCCCUGACCGGGGUUGCGGACAGUGUCUGGUGGGUAGUUUGACUGGGGCGGUCUCCUCCCAAAGCGUAACGGAGGAGCACGAAGGUUAGCUAAUCCUGGUCGGACAUCAGGAGGUUAGUGCAAUGGCAUAAGCUAGCUUGACUGCGAGCGUGACGGCGCGAGCAGGUGCGAAAGCAGGUCAUAGUGAUCCGGUGGUUCUGAAUGGAAGGGCCAUCGCUCAACGGAUAAAAGGUACUCCGGGGAUAACAGGCUGAUACCGCCCAAGAGUUCAUAUCGACGGCGGUGUUUGGCACCUCGAUGUCGGCUCAUCACAUCCUGGGGCUGAAGUAGGUCCCAAGGGUAUGGCUGUUCGCCAUUUAAAGUGGUACGCGAGCUGGGUUUAGAACGUCGUGAGACAGUUCGGUCCCUAUCUGCCGUGGGCGCUGGAGAAUUGAGGGGGGCUGCUCCUAGUACGAGAGGACCGGAGUGGACGCAUCACUGGUGUUCGGGUUGUCAUGCCAAUGGCACUGCCCGGUAGCUAAAUGCGGAAGAGAUAAGUGCUGAAAGCAUCUAAGCACGAAACUUGCCCCGAGAUGAGUUCUCCCUGAGACUUUAAGUCUCCUGAAGGAACGUU
RNAcentral lists this ribosomal RNA (2814 nucleotides) under Klebsiella pneumoniae. Its description in RNAcentral is "bacterial LSU rRNA". It matches the Rfam family "Bacterial large subunit ribosomal RNA". The record is from RNAcentral. Lineage: Bacteria; Pseudomonadati; Pseudomonadota; Gammaproteobacteria; Enterobacterales; Enterobacteriaceae.